Molecule: ribosomal RNA, 407 nt
Filed under: uncultured bacterium
Lineage: Bacteria
Description: partial 16S ribosomal RNA
Rfam family: Bacterial small subunit ribosomal RNA
Source: RNAcentral
GACGAACGCUGGCGGCGUGCCUAAUACAUGCAAGUAGGACGCAGUUGCGAACGGGUGAGUAACGCGUAGGUAACUACCUAUUAGAGGGGGAUAACUAUUGGAAACGAUAGCUAAUACCGCAUACUAGUAGAUGGACCUGCGUUGUAUUUGCUAGUAGGUAGGGUAAUGCCCUACCUAGGCAACGAUACAUAGCCGACCUGUGUGGGGGGUCGGUCACACGUGGACUGAGACAUGGCCCCAAACCCUACGGGGGGCAGCAGGAGGGAAUCUUCGGCAAUGGGGGGAACCCUGACCGAGCAACGCCGCGUUAGUGGAGAAGGUUUUCGGAUCGUAAAGCUCUGUUGUUAAGGAAGCGGUACUUAACCAGAAAGGGACGGCUAACUACGUGCCAGCCGCCGCGGUAAUUC